Non-coding RNA from Oryzias latipes (Japanese medaka), 608 nucleotides. The record is from RefSeq and is a predicted model, not a curated record. NCBI's taxonomy places the organism in Eukaryota, Metazoa, Chordata, Actinopteri, Beloniformes, Adrianichthyidae.
UGUGAAGGUCAUGCCCUAUGUGCGAGUUAACAUACAUCUUUCUAUGUCAGUUUUUAUUGUUCAGGUUUCAACAACACCUCACCUUCAGGACCUUGUUUGUCUGGUUUCUACUGCACUGGUGGCUCAGCCACACCUGUUCAGAACGAGGCAGAUGUUGGACACUAUACAUUGAAAGGGGCAGCCCGAUCAACGCCCUGUCCUCCUGGAACUUUUCAGCCACGUCGAGGUGCAGGGUCAUGCUUUGAGUGUCAAGGAGGCAGACUGUGCAACAAGACCGGCUUGUCGCAGCCACUACUGUGCCCCGUGGGACACUACUGUCCUCCAGACUCCUCUGCAGCUGUCCCUUGUCCUUCAGGGACGUAUGCAGAGCAGCCUGGUGGUGAGACGGUGCGGCACUGUCAGCCAUGCGAGGCGGGUUCAUUCUGCAAAAAAACGGGUCUGUCUGGACCUCAAGGUCUCUGUGACCCGGGACACUUCUGCACGUCUGGAGCCUUCACCGCCUCCCCAGUGAGUUCUUAUGAAUCUCUAUGAAGCUAAACAUAGAAAUCAGAUCACACCCUAUGACAGGUUGUUUUGGAGAUAAAACAAGGAAAAUAUCAAUAAAUAUC